This is a long non-coding RNA of Zeugodacus cucurbitae (melon fly), 387 nucleotides long. RefSeq lists it as uncharacterized. Lineage: Eukaryota; Metazoa; Arthropoda; Insecta; Diptera; Tephritidae. The transcript has 2 exons. The record is from RefSeq and is a predicted model, not a curated record.
AUUCAAUAGCCCAAGCAAAAUUUGUCAAACUCACUGCUGACAAAUAAAUUGAACUUAAGAUUCUUCGGAUUCGAUAUUUAAAUGAUUUAUAUGUGUCCUACUUAUCGGUGGUGGUCGGUGUUCAACUUUGUUGGCUGCACGGUGUUUGGGGGAUAUAAUUCCAACGAUGUUGCUGUUGUUGUGUGAAUUCCCACGAAGUACUUUCCUUUAAAUUUUCCGGCUCGAAGGAUCAAAAUGUCGAGUUAUAUCGACGUUGGGGCCGAUGUUGCGUUAAAGAAAAGUUAGUGGUUUCGAUUUUCAAAUUUACAAAAAUUCAGUGUAUAUUCAAUAUGAUUUUGAGUUAUGUGUACAUCAAAUAUAUAUGAGUUUGGGUGUGAUUUUACAAUA